Molecule: long non-coding RNA, 694 nt
Organism: Xenia sp. Carnegie-2017
Lineage: Eukaryota; Metazoa; Cnidaria; Anthozoa; Malacalcyonacea; Xeniidae
Exons: 3
Source: RefSeq, a predicted model, not a curated record
UCCGUAUCGAUCGAGUAGAGGGGGUCUUAUGGUUAUUUGUGAUGGUAAACAGGACAACCACCAGGCCAGUCAGUUGAAAAGUUAGAAAAUCAUUAAAUGCUUUCCGUUCUUGUUGAUGUGCCUAAUUGUCACGAGAAGAGUUGAUUACUGUUUGGGGGAAAAAGAUCAAAGAAAUUUCUACAUUUGGAUUUCUACAUCAAGAAAUGUAAAAAUAAAAAUCAUCAAGAUUGUCCUCCCCAGUUUCCGAGACUGCGCACAUCAUUUUAUGAUUUCCCACUCCACGAUUCGUGUUGAUAUAGAGACCAGUCACUGUGCUUCUUGGUGGCGCGAAAAAAGAAGACGCCAUAAAGAUUUCCAAAGAUGUUUUACGAUUUGGUUUAUUCCUCGAAAUAUGUUCGCUUAUCUCUAUAGUUUGUUUUUCUUUCUUGGCAAAUCAUCAUGGAAGUUUGUUAGUGAAAGGACUUGUUGUUUGAAAGGCAUUGUUCCUGUAUGUUGCCCUACACUAACCAAAUAUACGAUGAUAAAGACGAAUUUAAUGUUAUAUUUCUGGGUUUUUGUCAGUAACUUAAAACACUAACAGGUAUGCCGCUAUUAAUUAUUUGAAGUUUGCUAACCGUACGGGGUGUUUAUUUUUAUUUUGAACCGUAGACUUGUUUGUGUUUGGGAGUGUUAAAUAAAACUGGUUGGCUCUCAA